UGGGGGAUAUUGCACAAUGGGCGAAAGCCUGAUGCAGCGACGCCGCGUGGGGGAUGAAGGCUUUCGGGUUGUAAACCUCUUUCGCUAUCGAACAAGGCCCGCUUAGGGUGGGUCGAGGGGAGGUGGAGAAGAAGCGCCGGCUAACUACGUGCCAGCAGCCGCGGUAAUACGUAGGGCGCGAGCGUUGUCCGGAAUUAUUGGGCGUAAAGGGCUUGUAGGCGGCUUGUUGCGCCUGCUGUGAAAACGCGGGGCUUAACUUCGCGCGUGCAGUGGGUACGGGCAGGCUUGAGUGUGGUAGGGGUGACUGGAAUUCCAGGUGUAGCGGUGGAAUGCGCAGAUAUCUGGAGGAACACCGAUGGCGAAGGCGGGUCACUGGGCCGUUACUGACGCUGAGGAGCGAAAGCAUGGGUAGCAAACAGG
Molecule: ribosomal RNA, 420 nt
Filed under: bacterium
Lineage: Bacteria
Description: partial 16S ribosomal RNA
Rfam family: Bacterial small subunit ribosomal RNA
Source: RNAcentral